AGCAACCACACAGAGCUCCUCCCACAACUGGGUGCCCAGCUAACUCCAUUAUUAAAGAUGAGAACAGGAUUGUUCCCCAUUCUUAAAACAACUUUGAAAACAGAUGUGGCAUAUUGCCUGAACAUAUUCUCAAAUUUUUGCCUCUGCAUUUGCCAUUGUACCUCAAAUACAUAAACUUCUUUGGCUAAGGACAACACGUGCUUGGCCUAGAAGUCUCAUGUCAGAAUUUUCAAUUAAAUGACAAAAUCAAACCUCAUACAUGUCCCAAGUGCCAAUGUCAACUGAAGAGUGUGCUGUUGGACACAGAGAACAUGGUCUUGAAACAUAUUUUUUUUUCUCUUCUUUUGUCUUAUAUGUGCAACAUUUUAGUUUUGAAAUUUGCCGUUUUUUUGGGGCAAUCUUGGACUAAAGCACACCUAAUAAACAGCUAAUCAUGUUUAUUACAUUAUUUGCCUAUGAUGCGUAGUGUAAGAUGGAGAUGGUACUCCUCCUUGAUCUUCUUCCCCCUGAUAAUGGAACUCAUUUGGCCAGGAGGAUCAAACUCUGCAGCUUUUCUUGAUGUGAACUUGUUUGUUGAACAGCUUUGGAGAAGUCAGAGCAGCUGAGAUUGAUGGAGUGGCUUCCACAGCUGACCUGACGUUGCUGUUGCUCUCAGCAUGAAAACAACAAGGCACCACAGGAAUGUUAAGUUGAGAACAUUGAGUGGCGACGGUUUCACUGACCGCAGCUGAACUGUUAAGGUGUGCUCUCUCUCUCUCAUCGGAAUGAAGCAUCAAAGUUUCAAGGUGGUUUGGUGACGCUGUGGUGUUCAAUGUGCAAUUAGUUUGGCUUUUAUGACCUCUCACAAAGGCGUUUUCUUUUGAUGUGCUGAAGAGGCUGAUAACUGAAUGAUGAUUUAACUGUCUGCUCUUAAGUGUUUAAUGAUAACAACAGUAUGAAGAAAUGUGAUUUUCCACAGGGCAUUUUAAUGCAUUUUUAAUCCUGCCAACAAGUUAAAUGGUAUAGUGUUAUUGUUGGAAACUUGGAGCCCUUUUGCAGAAUACAAUAUCUGAAGAUUUUGUGUGUGUGUGUGCAGGAGGGUGUGUGUGUACAUUUGUGUGCGUUCAAAUAUGUUUAAUGCUCCCGAAACUUGAUUCCAACACACUAACAACAGAAUUCAAGGUUACACUGAAUAAUUUCAUUUAAGCGCAGAAGAAAGUUUGUUUUCUGAGUUAUACGUGAGUUUGAAGCUAAUCUUGAAGAAACAUGGCUACAGUAAUGAGAUGUUAUGGUUCCUCUGGCAUGUUUAAUUGUGUCCACAGACGCACAGAAGAAAAACUAUUUUCUCAUUGUUCAGUUUUUCAUAAACAGCACUACUCAUAUUUUAUAAAAUUUAUUAUUAAAGAACAAAAACAGUUGCAUAUAUCGACUAUAAUUCUAAUUUAGAUUGGGGCGUUGUCAUUAACAGACUAAUAAAAAAACAUGCUGUUAAUGAGCUUUUUUAAAAUCUGAGUAGAAGCUAUUUGAGAUCAUUUUUAACGGUCAUUUUCUAUGUAAUCUUUUA
Sinocyclocheilus grahami is the source of this 1543-nucleotide long non-coding RNA. RefSeq lists it as uncharacterized. NCBI's taxonomy places the organism in Eukaryota, Metazoa, Chordata, Actinopteri, Cypriniformes, Cyprinidae. The record is from RefSeq and is a predicted model, not a curated record. The transcript is spliced from 2 exons.